GAUGAACGCUGGCGGCGUGCCUAAUACAUGCAAGUCGAGCGAACAGAUGAUGAUCUUUCUCCUCUUACGUUAGCGGCGGACGGGUGAGUAACACGUGGAUAACCUACCUAUAAGACUGGUAUAACUUCGGGAAACCGUAUCUAAUACCGGAUAAUAUAUUGAACCUCAUGGUUCAAUAGUGAAUGUCGUUUUUUCUGUCUCUUUUAGCUGGUUCCGCUCCGCAUUAGCUAGUUGGUAAGGUAACGGCUUACCAAGGCAACGAUGCGUAGCCGACCUGAGAGGGUGAGCGGAAACACGGGAACUGAGACACGGACAAGACACCUACGGGAGGCAGCAGUAGGGAAUCUUCCGCAAUGGGCGAAAGCAUGACGGAGCAACGCCGCGUGAGUGAUGAAGGUCCUCGGAUCGUAAAACUCUGUUAUUAGGGAAGAACAAAUGUGUAAGUAAAUAUGCACGUCUUGACGGUAACUAAUCAGAAAGCAACGGCUAACUACGUG
This 497-nucleotide ribosomal RNA is filed under the name uncultured bacterium. Its description in RNAcentral is "partial 16S ribosomal RNA". It matches the Rfam family "Bacterial small subunit ribosomal RNA", at positions 28 to 507 of the family's 1533-position model. The record is from RNAcentral.